UGGGGAAUAUUGCACAAUGGGCGCAAGCCUGAUGCAGCCAUGCCGCGUGUAUGAAGAAGGCCUUCGGGUUGUAAAGUACUUUCAGCGGGGAGGAAGGCGUUGUGGUUAAUAACCACAGCGAUUGACGUUACCCGCAGAAAGAAGCACCGGGCUAACUCCGUGCCAGCGCCGCGGUAAUACGGAGGGUGCAAGCGUUAAUCGGAAUUACUGGGCGUAAAGCGCACGCAGGCGGUCUGUCAAGUCGGAUGUGAAAUCCCGGCUCAACCUGGGAACUGCAUUCGAAACUGGCAGGCUAGAGUCUUGUAGA
RNAcentral lists this ribosomal RNA (307 nucleotides) under uncultured Enterobacteriaceae bacterium. RNAcentral describes it as "bacterial SSU rRNA". It matches the Rfam family "Bacterial small subunit ribosomal RNA", at positions 355 to 655 of the family's 1533-position model. Lineage: Bacteria; Pseudomonadati; Pseudomonadota; Gammaproteobacteria; Enterobacterales; Enterobacteriaceae. The record is from RNAcentral.